Xiphias gladius (swordfish) is the source of this 593-nucleotide long non-coding RNA. RefSeq lists it as uncharacterized. The record is from RefSeq and is a predicted model, not a curated record. The transcript has 3 exons. NCBI's taxonomy places the organism in Eukaryota, Metazoa, Chordata, Actinopteri, Istiophoriformes, Xiphiidae.
UAAAGUGGCGGGUGGGAGUUCUAGGUUCCUUACAAUUCCUGUUUUUCUGGGAACAACAACAGCAGCAGCAGCAGCAGUACUGAAGGGAGGGGAAAAGAUUCCGCAUAUAACCAAGCACCAGUACCGCCCUGCAGCCCUACAGCUGGAAGACUAGCUAGGUCUGUGCAGCUAUGGGCGUCUGCUGCUUGUGGCAAGGUAGAGACUGGGUGUCCCGGUCCGAGCCGAGGCGGGCUGUGCUGUUUGAACGGAAAGACAGCGAAGAAAAAAAUCGUGUUUACUCCGGGGCCGGCGGUGGCGAUAGUAAUAAUAUUCCUUCCUGACAAAGUGCCCCUCCCCGGCUUCCCUCAGGUCCUCUGUUGCUUAUGUCUGAGUCCUUGCAGAGCCAGACAGAGAGAUGUGCGGGUGACGUCACCGCCUGGGCAGCGACGAUACGGAUCAAUGCCGAAAUUUGUGCAUGGAGGAACCCAGGACCACGAGGAAGAUUCUGACCAUUAACCAUCUACCAGCAGCUCAGUGACACAAGAUACACUACACACAACCAGCAGGUGUAAAGACUCAGGAAGAACAGUACCCAGCCCCGACCAACAACUAUC